Molecule: long non-coding RNA, 7125 nt
Filed under: Solanum tuberosum (potato)
Lineage: Eukaryota; Viridiplantae; Streptophyta; Magnoliopsida; Solanales; Solanaceae
Description: long non-coding RNA (STUB_LNC003907)
Source: RNAcentral
GCCUUAAUCACCACAGAAAUGGGGAAAUUAGUGUCAAGCUUGGAUAGAAUACACUUGAGACGUUAUACUUCUCACUAACGCCAUGUAUUCUUGUCCAUCAAAGACUUCUUUAGCUCAACCCAUCUUGGUCCAGCUCAUGUGUGAAAGGUAAUCCCAUAACCCCUAUCGAAAUUUCAAAAAGGAGCUCAAUUUUACAUUGUUAUGUAGUGCCCUUGUACUGAUGUACUAUAGAUCCUAUUUCAGACCUGUUCCAGGUGGAAAUCUGCAGUUCUCAUUCCGAUAAGUAUAAACACAACAUUAUCCAUUAUUGAUGUUUCUAUCAGUGCCUUCUAGAUUACCAUUUUCCUUAAAUCUUCGCCUUUUGACAGACUGAGCUCUGAGGGAACUAAUACCACUGUCUAAAAAACCAAGAUCUAAAGUCCAUAGGCUUCUGUUAGGUGCUUUCUUCCUCUUCUCUAAUUGCCUUUUACUGUAUCCACAUUCCAUUGCGUGCAUAUUUCUAAUUUACCUAUUACAAAUCAUAUAGUUAGUUUUGCAUUUUAGAAAUUCUAAUGUUUGGAAUCUGAUUUGCAUCCAUGAUUAAUAAAGAUUUUCCUUCUUUUGAUACUUCUUGUAUUGACUGAAAAGUUUUAGUUUAUGUACCUGCAAAAGAAAAAAUAAAGUUAGUGAAAUAGUCUGCCACUUUGUUGCCUUCCCUGAAUGUAUGUAACACUUUCACCUCCCUAUCGUUUCUCAAAAAGUUAAUCUUAUUUAUCAGCAGCUUUAUACACCAAGGGACUUCCCAAAUUCCAUUUAAAAUUUUGACCAGCACUAAUAAAUCAGUCUCUAAGCACACAUGAAGUAAAUUAUGUGCAACACAAUAAUUUAAUCCUUUCUCCAGGCACUAGUUUCAGCCUCCAAACUUGUUAUCAUGCCAAGCUUAUAGGUUGCAGCAAAUAUAAAAUCUCCUUUCCAAUUUCUAAUGCAAAACCCACCAGCACUUUGACCAGGGUUUCCUUUAGAAGCUCCACCUGAAUUACACUUGUAAGUCCCAUCAUUAGGAGGUUUCCAGUAAAUAACAGUAUGAAGUAUAGUUGGUUUUAUAUCCUUCAAGAAAAUGCACCAAAUUUGACCAAUCCUCAGGGAUAUUCCUCACCCAAGUUAUCUAAAAACAGUUAACAUGUGGGUUCCUGUUUAUUUCCAGUAUCAUGCCUUGCACAUUCUUGAUAUCCUGCACAACUGAACAUAUUGUUAAGGGCCCUAAUAAGGACCUCAACUGUUAGGAUGAAUAAAGAAGAAGAUAGAGGAUCUCCUUGUUUAACACCCCUAGAAGAGUGAAAAAAUCCACAAGCUUGGCCAUUGACCAAAACAAAAUACCAAUUGUUGGCCACUAGUCUCCAUAUUUUAUCAAUAAAGACAUUGUUGAAGCCCACUUUUCCAAGACUUUAAUCAAAAAGCCACAAUCUACCCUAUCAUAAGCGUUAGCCAUGUCAAGUUUAAACACCACAUUAGAAACUUUACUCCUCUUCCUAAUAUCCACAAUAAUCUCUUGAGCAAGUAGGACAUUUUCUGUAAUACUUCUUUCCUUGACAAAACCAUAUUGAUUAGAAGAAAUAAGAGCAGGUAAGAAUAUUUCCAGUGUAUCAUGAACAACCCUGGAAAUAACUGUCACGCCCCAAACUCAUGGGGCGCAACUGGCUGGCGUUGUGCAGCUACUAACUGUGCUAACAUACAUACUGCACUCUUAAAAUCCUGGUCAAAUGGAAUAAGAGGAACUAAAUAUGGUACUGCUGGUGGAGUCGGGGAUCCUGUAGCCCUCGGAGGCUCCUGAAGCGGUGGAGAAACUAUAGGGGACUGAGAAGAUGUAUCCCCCUGGGUCUCACAAUGGGCUACCUCCACCUGUGGUAUCUCGCCAGUGCCCUCGCCUGCAGUUGUAUCUAGCCCUUCGCUAGUUGUGGUCUGUCUGGUGUCAACCAUCUCUAUCUGCAUAGAAAUAUCAAUUAUAAGCCAGAAACCUCAACCCUUAAGACACCGCUCUAUAGCACGAAGUGAGCAAAAGAAGGAUAGUAAUUCUAACAUGCCCGGUAGCUUCUUGCUUAUUGAAUGUGGUGCACCACACAUUUAUAAUCAAGACUCUACUAGAUACGGCCUGUAGACUCCCUAGGAUACGACGUUGCUCUGAUACCAAGUUUGUCACGCCCUAAACUCAAGGGGCGCAACUGGCUCCUAAUGCCAAAACUCAGGCCCGAGCCGACCCUGCUGAACCAUUUGCUACUAGAACAUGACAGCCACACGCAAUCAAGAAAACAAACAAGUAUAUAUCGGCUUAAAGCUAAGCCCUCGACCGGCAAGGCCCCUGUUAACAAAUUUGCAAAAGAAACAGCUACUCCCAAGAGUUCAUAUAAAGAAAUUGCCAACUAGCACAGAAGUCCUGAUUGGGCCGUCAAGGCCACCAUGAUCUCUAUACCAAAACUAAAAGCAGGUAUAUAACAAGACAAUGCAUCACACAACUAACAAGCUUCAGCAAACCAACAAAACUAGGCCAGCAUGGCCAUAACGUAGCUAUAAACCCCACACAUUAGUCUACAAGCCUCUAAGAGUAGUAAAGAUUGGUGGGACAGGGCCCUAGCCUACCCAUAAAAAAUAUAUACAACAAAAGCUAACAAACCUCUAAACUCUGGCAGCUCCGAAGGAAAGGGGCUAGCCAACCGGAUAGAAGUCAAUCCUGCUGCUGAGGAGGUCUACUCGGUUGUCUAUUGGGACCUGAAUGCAUGAAUGCAGCGCCCCCAGGCAAUGGGGCGUCAGUACAAAAUAAUGUACGGAGUAUGAAAGGUAAUAGACUAUGAGCAGGUAUCCUAAUAUACCGGAAUAAUUCGAUAAAUAAAUCAAGAAUAAGAUAAGUGUACUGACCUGCUCCUAAAUCUAAACUUAUCAAAAAUAAUAAAACAACAACCUAACCAAGCCCCCAUAAGCUCGGCAGGUACAAACAACAGACAAGACCACCUACUCAGGCCACCAUAAGCCUGGAAGGUGCCAAUUAGUCUAUAUAACCCUAUCGGUAGUCCCCUAGCCCCGUAGGAAGUCACAUAGCCCUCUUAGGCAUUAAUAUAUCCCCGUAGGCAGCACAUAGCUCUCUUAAGCAUCAACAUAGCUUAUAGACAACUCAUAGCCCUCUUAGGCAACAACAUAGCCAUGUAGGAAGCACAUAGCCUUCUUAGGCAUAAAUAUAGCCCUGUAGGCAACUCAUAGCCCUUCUAGGCAUCAAUAUUGCCCCGUAGACAACUCUAACUCAUAGCCCUUUUAGGCAUCCAUAUAGCCCCGUAGGCAGAACAUAGCCCUUCUAGGCAUAGAUCACAUUCUUGCAGCUAACCACAAUAGCCCCAAGGGCAACAAUAACAAUCCAAUCGCUAAAGCGAGUAAUUUAGUUAUAAGAAACCUAUACAAAUAGCCUCUAAGAUGUGUCCAACAUAGGGACGCUACUGACUGAAUAAGAAUUUCGACAAGGGAGGAUUAUAUCAACUCGAGCAGCCAACAAUCAACAAUAACAGCUACAAGUAUAUCAAGGAUAACAACCUAAUUACAUUACUCCUAAGCUUUAAGGAAACAUGCCGUAAGUAGGGAAUAGCCUUAACAUACCUUUUUUUGCUGAAUUCACGUUGCCUGACGACUUUUACUCAUAACCCCUCGAUAUUACAACAAGGUAGGACCAUCAUCAACACACAAAAAUAGAAGAUACCACGACAAUCCGAUAAAAGAUAUGUAUUUCCGUUGCAAAUUGCUAUUUGCUGCUUAUAAAAACUAGAUUCGAUGAAAGAAGGGUCUUACCUCGAUCUUAAGUUUGUAAUACACCUCAAAACCUUCAAAUAUGUCCAAACCCUUGAUGUCCCAACACUAAAGUGUGAUAUGCUACGAAAUCGAUAAAACAAAUUAUACCACGAUGAUGAGCCCAACGCGUAGAACAACUUUCGUCAAGGACUUAAGUUGAGAAAAUCUAUACUUUAGUUGAUCCUAGAAAUGGGUUUCUCAAAUUUUUCUGGUUCUUAGCUUGAAAAUGAAGAAAAGGUCAAAGAAGAAGAUGUAUAUAAAGUUCCAACGACCUAUGGCCCCACCUCACGUGCUUGCUUGCGCAGUCCCACGAAAACACAAAUAUCUCUCUAUUCUGAAGUUGUAUGAACAAAUAGUUUGAUGUGUUGGAAACUAGACUCAUAGACCUUCGAUUUCAUAGGUCGUAGGCUCCAUAACUCUUUAUAUAUUUGGAGAAAACCUCCAAGACAUUUGACCCAAAUUUUAGAGAAAUCUUUAAAAAGGAACUUACGGUAACUUUCGCCAACUUUCAUUUUGCUGCUUACCUAACUUCAAAACUUGAGAUACCACCCUUGAACACUUAAAAUAUGACAUACCACAUCAUUCUUAAUUUAUUACCCACUCUCCUGGUCUUUUCGUGAAGAUACGAGUAAUUUUAUACGUUUCAAAAAGGCGGGGUGUUACAAUAACUUUGUUAAUAAAGUUGCUAAGACUGAUAGGCCUUAGAUCAGCAAAAGAAAUCACCUUUUCUUUCUUAGGAAUCAAAACAAGGUUAGUAUGAGUAAUGGAUUUUGGGAGUGUUGUCCCUUUAAAAAAAGCAAACACUACCUUUACUAUAUCAUCACCUAUUAUCCCAGCAUUCCUGAUAAAAGUGACCAAUCAAACCAUCAGGUCCACUUAUACUAUUCCCAUUGAGCUCAAAGACCACCUUUUUAACCUCCUCAGCAAUGGGAAUCCUAUUAAGCAAUUCAUUAUCUUCCUCCUUAAUCAAAGAGGGGAUUGAUCUUGAUAGAAUUUGAUUCUUGAAUAUCACUAGAAAAUUGAUCUUGAUAGAAUUUGACAGCCUCUUCCCCAACCUCACUACCUUCAGCCCAUGUACCAUCAGCUUUCUGUAUUUUGGUCAAUUCUAGUCUUCUCCUUCUACCUUUUACAAUGUUGUGGAAGAAUUUGGUGUUCCUAUCUCCUUCAAUAAACCAUUUCAUCCCAGCCUUUUGUCUCUAGAAAUCCUCUUCAAACUUCAAGUAUUUGGUAUAUUCUGCUUGAGCUCUAUUCAGAAUGGAUCUAUUAGCAACAUUAGGAACAUCCUCAAACAAUUUUUCUUUGAUUUUCAGAAUAUCCUCUCUUACAAUUAAUUGUUUGAAAAUAUCCCCAAAACUUUCUCUGCUCCACUUUGCCAGAGCUAGUUUAGUCUUCUUCAUCUUGAUCUUUAGGUUAACAAACACAUCAUCAAAAUAAUCAGCAUCCCAAUUCUUCAUAAUCAGCUCUUUGAACCCCUCAUUUUCCGUCUAACAGUUGAGGAAUCUGAAAGGUUUGAGGAAAUGGAAAGAUUGAACCCUACAAGACAACAACAUAGGAGCAUGAUCUGACCCUGUCCCAGCCAAAUGUUCCAAGUCCACAUGACCCAACCCUUCCAAAAAGUCCUGAUUCCCCACAACUCUGUCUAGUCUUUUAAAGAUACAUUCCCCAUCAUACCUCCCAUUCCACCAAGUGAAAGGGCUACCUUUGAAAUUAAUAUCAAAUAGCUCACAAGAAUUGAUACAAAAAGUAAAAUCUCCCGCCUCAUUUGGAUAAAUAGGUAAACCCCCUAUCUUUUCUUUAGCAUCCAUAAUAACAUUAGUUCCCCCCCCCCCCCCCAACAAACCGGGGAAAUUCAUAUUAUGCCCAAUUGCAUACAUUUCCUCCCAGAAUAACAGUCUUUCAGCAGUUGUACACUUGGCAUAGAUAAGUGUACCAACUAUCUGAUGCCUACUAAGGAAAAUCAUUUUAAUAGUCAAUUGUUGUUCAGAGUUAGACAUAACCUCCACCUGAAUAUCUUCUUUUACAAACAACCAAAUCUUCCCAUUGAUGUUAUAAUUUGCGUAUGCCAUGCCUAAUCUCCUUUUAAACUGCUGAAUCUGCCUAGUUUCUUGAAAAGGUUCCAUUAAGGUAACCAAAUCAAAUUUGUGAUGUCUAUGAAGCAUUUGAACUCUAUAGAAAGAAUGAUUAGAUCUGACUGAUCUAAUAUUCCAUAUUAAUGCUUUAAAGAUCAUUUUAACAUGGCUCGACCAGACCUCACAAGGUUAGUCCUAAUGGGCAUAUCCCAUUGAGGCUUACUUUUCUUCUUCUUUGAUUUCCCUUGGGGGGAACCUCCUGCAUUUGUAUCAACCUGAGCAUGAUCACUUUGAUGUUCAACUUCAUCCCUGUCUAUUACUAAUUCAUUUUGUUGUGAGUUUGCCUCCUCCACUGGUGUGCUUUCUUUGACUGCUGUGUUAUGAGUAACCAAGUCAUGUAAUUCUUUGAUAGGAGAACUCUGUUUGAUUGCCCCUGGAUACAUGACUACUGCAUUAAUAUCUCUUAUCCUCCUAACAUAGUGCAAUUGAUCUUGUUUGCCAAGUGAGCAGUCUGUAAGGAUAUUCAUGUUCUCAGCAUCCUCAGAAUUAAGAAGAAGGUCCUCCUCAAACUCCAACAUAGCUAUAACCACAACACCAUGUCCACCUACACUGUCUCCAUGUAAGAUCUGAUGGUCCUUGUGAACUACCAAAGUUUUAUCCUAUAACUCAAUUUUCGGGAAAUAUGUUUCAUUAUACUCAUUUUGUUCCUCACUUACUACCUCCACAUGUAUAUCUUCAUCAAGUAGGUCCCUAUUAUCAUUUGUAACCUGCUCUAUAUUUUGCAGGUCAGUAUGAAGAACCAGAGUUUUAUUUAAAUCCUCAAACUCCUGAGAAGGCAUCACAUUGUUGGCAAUCAUCUCCCCUGAUUCAUCUCCUUCAUGCAUGAUUUCUACAUUUUUGUCCUUGGUGUUUUCCAUGUUAUUUGCUUCACUGUUCUUAAAGCCUUGAUUACCUGCUGUGAUUGUAUUUUUGUAGAAGGAAUUUGUAGUCCAUUCUUUGGUAUUCAUCUUCUCCCCCUCCACUUUAUGUUUUUCUCCAUCAUCCUGCUCUUCAUUAAGAGCAUUAAAUGAAUUGUUGGUCGCAAUAUCAUCCUUCUUUAUUUCCAUGCCUGCAGUAGUAACCUCCAUAUCUGUGUCUCUGAUGAAUCUUCUGUUGGUCGGGUUCCACUAUUUUUUAAGGAACCUUGGUGAUAUGAUCACUUUUUUAUCCUUUCCUCCCAUAGCUGUAUUCUGUUCUUGUUUUCUCAAUUCAG